CCGAGUCGUCUGCACCCGAAGCCGCCGGCCGAACCCGCAAGGGGCGGAGGCGUCGAAGGUGUGGAGGGUAAGGGGGGUGAAGUCGUAACAAGGUAGCCGUACCGGAAGGUGCGGCUGGAUCACCUCCUUUCUAGGGAGA
RNAcentral lists this ribosomal RNA (139 nucleotides) under Escherichia coli. RNAcentral describes it as "partial 16S ribosomal RNA". It matches the Rfam family "Bacterial small subunit ribosomal RNA", at positions 1406 to 1533 of the family's 1533-position model. The record is from RNAcentral. Lineage: Bacteria; Pseudomonadati; Pseudomonadota; Gammaproteobacteria; Enterobacterales; Enterobacteriaceae.